UACAGAGGUGGCAAGCGUUGUUCGGAAUUACUGGGCGUAAAGCGUGCGUAGGCGGUUUCUUAAGUCUGCUGUGAAAGCCCCGGGUUCAACCUGGGAAUGGCGGUGGAUACUGAGAAGCUGGAGUACGGUAGAGGAAGGUGGAAUUCCCGGUGUAGCGGUGAAAUGCGUAGAGAUCGGGAGGAACAUCAGUGGCGAAGGCGGCCUUCUGGACCAGUACUGACGCUGAGGCACGAAAGCGUGGGGAGCGAACAGGG
RNAcentral lists this ribosomal RNA (254 nucleotides) under uncultured bacterium. RNAcentral describes it as "partial 16S ribosomal RNA". It matches the Rfam family "Bacterial small subunit ribosomal RNA", at positions 524 to 777 of the family's 1533-position model. The record is from RNAcentral.